This 683-nucleotide ribosomal RNA is filed under the name Bacillus pumilus. RNAcentral describes it as "bacterial SSU rRNA". It matches the Rfam family "Bacterial small subunit ribosomal RNA", at positions 197 to 867 of the family's 1533-position model. Lineage: Bacteria; Bacillati; Bacillota; Bacilli; Caryophanales; Bacillaceae. The record is from RNAcentral.
AGGAUGAAAGACGGUUUCGGYUGUCACUUACAGAUGGACCCGCGGCGCAUUAGCUAGUUGGUGGGGUAAUGGCUCACCAAGGCGACGAUGCGUAGCCGACCUGAGAGGGUGAUCGGCCACACUGGGACUGAGACACGGCCCAGACUCUACGGGAGGCAGCAGUAGGGAAUCUUCCGCAAUGGACGAAAGUCUGACGGAGCAACGCCGCGUGAGUGAUGAAGGUUUUCGGAUCGUAAAGCUCUGUUGUUAGGGAAGAACAAGUGCGAGAGUAACUGCUCGCACCUUGACGGUACCUAACCAGAAAGCCACGGCUAACUACGUGCCAGCAGCCGCGGUAAUACGUAGGUGGCAAGCGUUGUCCGGAAUUAUUGGGCGUAAAGGGCUCGCAGGCGGUUUCUUAAGUCUGAUGUGAAAGCCCCCGGCUCAACCGGGGAGGGUCAUUGGAAACUGGGAAACUUGAGUGCAGAAGAGGAGAGUGGAAUUCCACGUGUAGCGGUGAAAUGCGUAGAGAUGUGGAGGAACACCAGUGGCGAAGGCGACUCUCUGGUCUGUAACUGACGCUGAGGAGCGAAAGCGUGGGGAGCGAACAGGAUUAGAUACCCUGGUAGUCCACGCCGUAAACGAUGAGUGCUAAGUGUUAGGGGGUUUCCGCCCCUUAGUGCUGUCACKAACGCAUUAAGCAG